ACCCAUCUCUAUUGGAUCCUAUAUUGGGAAUGUCAAGAAAAUAAUAAAAUGAGAUUUUUACCAAUAAUCUAUGGUUCUUUUUCUAUCAUAUUUUAGACCAAAUUAAUAUUAUGCUAAUUUACAAAAUAGGUGACAUAACAUCUUAUAUCUAUCAGUUUGAAUAUGUCAUUAUCCUUAUAGCCUUCUCCUUUUAAGUAUAUCUCCCUUAUGAAAACCAAUUCUUCAUUUACAUUUUUAGUUUUUUGUAAAUUCUUGAUAUUUUUUCCCCUUCAUUUUCCUAUCUCUUAUUUUUUUCCUUCUUCUAUCUUUUUCUCUUAAUCCAAACUCUCAUC
This 332-nucleotide long non-coding RNA is filed under the name Elaeis guineensis (African oil palm). RNAcentral's name for it is "long non-coding RNA (EGUI_LNC035123)". Lineage: Eukaryota; Viridiplantae; Streptophyta; Magnoliopsida; Arecales; Arecaceae. The record is from RNAcentral.